Molecule: ribosomal RNA, 284 nt
Filed under: uncultured Halothiobacillus sp.
Lineage: Bacteria; Pseudomonadati; Pseudomonadota; Gammaproteobacteria; Chromatiales; Halothiobacillaceae
Description: partial 16S ribosomal RNA
Rfam family: Bacterial small subunit ribosomal RNA
Source: RNAcentral
AUGCAUGGGAAUCUGCCCUGAGGUGGGGGAUAACCUGGGGAAACUCAGGCUAAUACCGCAUGAUCUCUACGGAGCAAAGUGGGGGACCUUCGGGCCUCACGCCUUGGGAUGAGCCCAUGUCUGAUUAGCUAGUUGGUGGGGUAAAGGCCUACCAAGGCGACGAUCAGUAGCCGGCCUGAGAGGGUGGACGGCCACACUGGGACUGAGACACGGCCCAGACUCCUACGGGAGGCAGCAGUGGGGAAUAUUGGACAAUGGGGGCAACCCUGAUCCAGCAAUGCCGC